AUUUUCAUUUUAUUAAUUGUACUUUGUUUAUCUUUGUAUGGUUCACCGAGGGAGAAAGGAAGAAGAAAGAAGGGUUUCAAAAAUGGAGUUUCUUAAGGAAGAUGAAGGGAUGAGAAAAUGAACAAAAUGAAGUUUACAGUGGUUUACCACAUCGCCUACAUCCACUGUUCAAGAAGUUGAAACCCUUUUGCAGAAGGUAGUUCAUCAACAAAUUUCAACAUCCAAGUUCUACGUGUCCGACUCUAGACGACCACAUUACUAACUAGGCGAUGAGAUCUAGGCGUCCUAUUUCAAGCUACGAGUUCUUGGCCGCAUUCUUUAGGCAUCCAGUUUCUACUUCCAAAUGUUCAUCAACUUUUGCUACCAGUCGUUGAGAUUAACAUAUCUUGCUAGAUGUCCAACAAUUAUACCAACACUUUUAAGAUAAAUCCUUCUACACUAUUUGUGGUGGUUAGAGCAUGAAAUAUCGAUGUUUUGUCUAUCGAUCUCCACACUCAAUUCAAAGUCGUAAUGUUUGAGGUCAAGGUCAGAAAAUGUAUUUUCCAUCCUCGUCCUCGCUUAGUGAACUAGGAGAAAAUUAAUCACGCUUCCUCUCCCAUUCUUCGUCCAAAAUGGGAUUGGUCCUGUAAGAUUCCAGUCCUACAGAGUAAAUGGACAUCUCUACCAAUAUUUGAAA
Cucumis sativus (cucumber) is the source of this 676-nucleotide long non-coding RNA. RefSeq lists it as uncharacterized. The transcript is spliced from 2 exons. Lineage: Eukaryota; Viridiplantae; Streptophyta; Magnoliopsida; Cucurbitales; Cucurbitaceae. The record is from RefSeq and is a predicted model, not a curated record.